Molecule: ribosomal RNA, 40 nt
Filed under: Periophthalmus magnuspinnatus
Lineage: Eukaryota; Metazoa; Chordata; Actinopteri; Gobiiformes; Gobiidae
Source: RNAcentral
CUGGUUUGUACUUGGAUGGGAGACCGCAGGGAAAACCAAG